ACAUUGUUUCUAAUUCUUCACAUACACAGAGAGACAUGCUAAACACGUUAUACAACUGAGGUAGUAAAAUCUCACUGCUUUCAGUAAAAUUACAUUUACAUGUUUUAAUUAAAACAGCACUUGAAGCUUCUGAUAAAACAAAAUACUCUACAGGCCUACAGUCAUCCUUUAAAAACUCUAAACAUAGAACAGAAGCUCCUGCAACGUACAUCCCACUUUCUUAGGUGGAAUUCAGCUGAUAUACUUAAGUAUCACGAUAUAUUCACCGUCUCCACAUCCCUGAAUACAUUGUGCACUUGAUUCCCAAAUUUUAACAGAAAAUCAUUGACUCAUUUAUAGCGUAUGCACUCUCUCAGUCCAUACAAAGAUGACCCAUUAACGCUGAACCAUAAAGUGCAACUCGCCUCAGCUCGCAUUUUUCGAAAGAAAAGUUGUACAAUCUUCCAUCUUCCCCCUUUUUCUCAGGAACCAAACACAGUUUCAAGUUAUUCAUUCAUUCAAUUGAAUCAAAGUAGAACUGAAAACACUAAAAAGCCUAAAAUCCUCGAUCUAAUCGAUAAUUCUACCUCACAACAAGCGGCAUCAAUAUCCAUGAAAACGAAAAAUAAAAAAUCUAAGACCAUCAAUCAAUGAAAAAUGAGAAAGCAAAUCUGCAUCUGAAGCCGAAAUCAGGAUCCGAAAAUCCGGAAUCCGUUUACAUUUUCAGUUCGAUUAGCUGAAAAUGAAACCUAAAAACAAGAUAAAAAAUAAGUGGAAAGGGAAUGGGUUAUCAAAAUUACAGGUCUUUGCAUGCGAAGAACUUACAGAGAGAAAUGGAAAAGCAGCGG
This 827-nucleotide unclassified non-coding RNA is filed under the name Hevea brasiliensis (rubber tree). The record is from RNAcentral. Lineage: Eukaryota; Viridiplantae; Streptophyta; Magnoliopsida; Malpighiales; Euphorbiaceae.